RNAcentral lists this ribosomal RNA (493 nucleotides) under uncultured bacterium. RNAcentral describes it as "partial 16S ribosomal RNA". It matches the Rfam family "Bacterial small subunit ribosomal RNA", at positions 30 to 523 of the family's 1533-position model. The record is from RNAcentral.
AUUGAACGCUGGCGGAAUGCUUUACACAUGCAAGUCGAACGGUAGCAGGUUAAGCUGACGAGUGGCGAACGGGUGAGUAAUAUAUCGGAACGUGCCCAGUCGUGGGGGAUAACGUAGCGAAAGCUACGCUAAUACCGCAUACGAUCUACGGAUGAAAGCGGGGGAUCGCAAGACCUCGCGCGAUUGGAGCGGCCGAUAUCAGAUUAGGUUGUUGGUGAGGUAAAAGCUCACCAAGCCUGCGAUCUGUAGCUGGUCUGAGAGGACGACCAGCCACACUGGAACUGAGACACGGUCCAGACUCCUACGGGAGGCAGCAGUGGGGAAUUUUGGACAAUGGACGCAAGUCUGAUCCAGCAAUGCCGCGUGCAGGACGAAGGCCUUCGGGUUGUAAACUGCUUUUGUACGGAACGAAACGGUGAGCUCUAAUACAGUUUGCUAAUGACGGUACCGUAAGAAUAAGCACCGGCUAACUACGUGCCAGCCGCCGCCGUAA